RNAcentral lists this ribosomal RNA (441 nucleotides) under uncultured bacterium. Its description in RNAcentral is "partial 16S ribosomal RNA". It matches the Rfam family "Bacterial small subunit ribosomal RNA", at positions 338 to 795 of the family's 1533-position model. The record is from RNAcentral.
CCUACGGGAGGCAGCAGUGGGGGAUAUUGCACAAUGGGGGGAACCCUGAUGCAGCGACGCCGCGUGGGUGAAGGAGCGUUUCGGCGCGUAAAGCCCUAUCGGCAGGGAAGAAGGAGGACGGUACCUGACUAAGAAGCCCCGGCUAACUACGUGCCAGCAGCCGCGGUAAUACGUAGGUGGCAAGCGUUGUCCGGAAUUACUGGGUGUAAAGGGAGCGCAGGCGGGAAGCCAAGUCAGCUGUGAAAACCCUCGGCUUAACUGAGGAACUGCAACUAAAACUACUUCCCUUGAGUACUGGAGAGGAAAGUGGAAUUCCUAGUGUAGCGGUGAAAUGCGUAGAUAUUAGGAGGAACACCAGUGGCGAAGGCGACUUUCUGGACAGUAACUGACGUUGAGGCACGAAAGUGUGGGGAGCAAACAGGAUUAGAUACCCUUGUAGUC